GACGAACGCUGGCGGCGUGCUUAACACAUGCAAGUCGAACGGAAAGACCCUGCUUUUGUGGGGUGCUCGAGUGGCGAACGGGUGAGUAACACGUGAGUAACCUGCCCUUGACUUUGGGAUAACUUCAGGAAACUGGGGCUAAUACCGGAUAGGAGCUCCUGCUGCAUGGGGGGGGUUGGAAAGUUUCGGCGGUUGGGGAUGGACUCGCGGCUUAUCAGCUUGUUGGUGGGGUAGGGGCUUACCAAGGCUUUGACGGGUAGCCGGCCUGAGAGGGUGACCGGCCACAUUGGGACUGAGAUACGGACCAGACUCCUACGGGAGGCAGCAGUGGGGAAUAUUGCACAAUGGGCGGAAGCCUGAUGCAGCAACGCCGCGUGCGGGAUGACGUCUUUCGGGUUGUAAACCGCUUUCGACUGUGACGAAGCGUGAGUGACGGUAAUGGGUAAAGAAGCACCGGCUAACUACGUG
This 468-nucleotide ribosomal RNA is filed under the name uncultured bacterium. Its description in RNAcentral is "partial 16S ribosomal RNA". It matches the Rfam family "Bacterial small subunit ribosomal RNA", at positions 28 to 507 of the family's 1533-position model. The record is from RNAcentral.